This 1772-nucleotide unclassified non-coding RNA is filed under the name Lingula anatina. RNAcentral's name for it is "solute carrier family 46 member 3, transcript variant X1". Lineage: Eukaryota; Metazoa; Brachiopoda; Lingulata; Lingulida; Lingulidae. The record is from RNAcentral.
UAUUGAAUAAUAACAUGCACGAAAAACCUCAUUUUCAGCAUUUUGAUGAUCACGAACCCUGCCAGCCUCAUAAAGCUAGCUUUCGUUAUCUCAGUUCCACAUUUUGACCCCGUAGAUUUUUGCACUGCACAGUGACUUGGGUUAAUCUCACCUCAUUAACAACACGGGACUAAGUUAGUCCUAAGAAACAGUAUCAUGUGCUAUGUAUGUAGUUCUUACAUAACAGAAACGGGCUCAGGGUGACGACGUGAAAAUAUCAUCAUAGUCAAUUCUACUGGUAACAGCGUCCAGCCAUCGCCUCUGCUUCCGGUCAGACGACAGCGUUUAUCUUCCGGGUAUCACAUGGUCAAUUGACAGUAGAGGCGUUCUGAUGGCAUAUUACUUCUUUUAAUGAAUAUAUCUACUUUACUAGCCAUUGCUCGAUCCUUGAUCCUUGAUUAGCUGCAACUUGCAAUAGUUCCGCUCUACCAGUUUGGCAAAGGGAUAUACAGUGAAGCAGCGAUGUCUUUACGACAAUGGUGGGACGAGCACAAACACGAGCCUCGUCUGAUCGUCUCCGUGGAACCUGCCAUCUUCUUCUUCAUGCUGUCGUUGUUCAUCACCCUGCCCAGUGUCCAGGCACUCUUCAUACAGAAAGUGUGUCUCAGAGAGUUUCACUCCGAGAUGGUCUGCCAUAACCUGACCAACAACCCAGAGAAGAUGGACUACGUCCAGAGCAAGGUGUCCAGGUGGGUAUUGCUGAACACCUGUUCUGAGACGUUCCCAUCUAUGAUUACGGCUGUCUUCAUGGGGUCUUGGGGCGACAACGUCAACCGGAAGAUACCGAUCGUCGUACCAGCCGUGGGAGGUCUGCUGAUGAUGGUAAACCUGGUCUUGAACUCGUUCUACAUGAACUGGCACCCGGCCUUUAUUCUGAUCAGUAACUUCGUGUACGGAGUUCUAGGGGGCUUCGCCUCGUUCUUAAUGGCGGUGUUCAGCUAUGUGUCUGUGAUCUCAGGUGGUGAAAAGGAACGCUUAAUACGCAUCAGUAUUUGUGAGGGGUUGAUGCAGCUGAGCGGCGCUGUGGGGUUUGCUCUCUCUGGACUCCUUGUCAAAUACACGGGGUUUACCUACACCUUUGUCUUCACAAUGGCCUCGAUGGGCGUGGCACUUUUGUAUUCUGUUCUAUGGAUAAAGAACCCACCGCCAGUAGGUGGCAGAGGUGUAGGUACAGAAGAACCCAGGUCUUUGUGUGCCAGGCUGUUUGACUGCAAACAUUUCGUCGCCGCCGUGAAAUGUUACUUCGUGAGGCGGGAAGGGUACAAACGACUGAUCCUCUGGCUGUCCCUGGUUGCCUUCAUGAUAGGAAUGAUCACCAUAGGCGGUGGAGCGGACGUCUGUCUUCUGUACCUAAACUACACAAUCCCUGGCUGGAACCUGGUUCUGUACGGUAUCUACAAUGCUCUCAGGAUGAUUCUGAUGACGAUCUUCCUACUCUUCAUUCUGCCAGUGAUUAAAAGGUUCUUUUCCAUUCAAGACACAACAGUGGGUAUAAUAGGACUUGUCAGUAACACAGCUGGGCAACUGUUACUGGCUUUCUGCAAAACUAUAUGGAUGGUUAUGUUGGUCCCUGUUGUUAACAUGCUGGCAGGCGCAGGGUCCACUGCUUUAAGAGCCAUCAUUGCUAAAAUGGUCAGCGUGAAUGAACAAGUAUAAUCCGUGUUUACAUCCCAAAGGAAGGAAUACAGAUGUCCCAAUAUGCUUCACAGGAAAAAUCCCCACUCCUAGUGAAU